AGCAGCCGCGGUAAUUCCAGCUCCAACAGCGUAUAUUAAAGUUGUUGCAGUUAAAAGCUCGUAGUUGAAUUGAGGGAUUGACGUGACGGUCGUGCCUUACGGGGUAUGAACUGUUGCUGUUGAUUUUUCUCACCUUCUGGAGAAACUUGAUGUCCUUAAUUGGGUGUCUUGCGGAUCCAGGACCUUUACCUUGAAAAAAUUAGAGUGUUUAAAGCAGGCAUUUUGCUCGAAUACAUUAGCAUGGAAUAAUAGAAUAGGACGGCAUGGUUCUAUUUUGUUGGUUUCUAGGAUCACCGUAAUGAUUAAUAGGGAUAGUUGGGGGCAUUAGUAUUCAAUUGUCAGAGGCGAAAUACUUGGAUUUGUUGAAGACUAAUUACUGCGAAAGCAUUUGCCAAGGAUGUUUUCAUUAAUCAAGAACGAAAGUUAGGGGAUCGAAGACGAUCAGAUACCGUCGUAGUCUUAACCAAUAAACUAUGCCGACUAGGAAUCAGACGAUGUAAUUUUUUUCAGUGAUUCGUUU
RNAcentral lists this unclassified non-coding RNA (520 nucleotides) under uncultured Entrophospora. RNAcentral's name for it is "SSU rRNA". It matches the Rfam family "Eukaryotic small subunit ribosomal RNA", at positions 569 to 1081 of the family's 1831-position model. Lineage: Eukaryota; Fungi; Glomeromycota; Glomeromycetes; Entrophosporales; Entrophosporaceae. The record is from RNAcentral.